AAAAAAAACUACCAUCCCUUUCCAUUUUACAUUUUCCUCUACUAUGUUAUGUCAUGACUGCAUUAGUGGUUUAAUCUGUUACCUAAGUAUAAAAAUAGCAACCUGCCAAAUAGUCGAAUGGUUCAGGAAAGAAGACUUUAUGUUGAGUCCACGAGUGAUGCAUUUAUAUUUGCAAUGUUGUUUGUUUUAUCUGUCUCUAGGUUUCAAUUUUUUUUGGGUGGGGGUUCAAAUUAAUUGUGGUUUCACACAUUUUUCUAAUGCCAUGUUUGAACAGAUCUCAUGUAUAUUGGAUUUGUGUUCCAGCUCCAAAUACUUGUCAAGAACAGAAAUCACUGCAAUAAGUUGUGAGUAGUAAAAAAAGGGACAAUGCUUAAGUUGCAUGAAAACUAGAUGAGUAUAGGUGAAGCAAUGCAUGUGUUAGAUGCUACUAGUUGCUAUGCUAACCUCUUGAAAUAGAUUUCAAUGGGGUCACCUUUUUGGGAGUUUCUUUUUCUUUGUUUACCUAAAUACCUAGUAGAUAUAAUUCUUUAUGGUUGACUGUAGCCUCAUUGUUUUUGACUAGUAGAUUAAGAUGUAUGAUCCAGCAUGUUUCUGCAUCUAAACAUUUGUAUCAUUUCAAGUGAUUGAACAAUCGUAGCUUUAUUGCUUAUUUCAGUAUGUGGUGCUUCUCUGAUGAUAGCAUCGAAAUAUUGAUGAGGCAAUCACUUCCUGAAGUUGAUAUGUUAUAUCAUCAACACUUCUUCCAAAGUCAAACUAGCCACGGCUUUCUAACCUCUUGUAAUAUGUUUUCUGCCUUCUCAGGCAAGUUCACGCUGGGAGAAAAGACAAGCCAAAGUCCUGGAGAAGGUAAGAAGGCGGAUGAGCCAAGAUGAUUCCAGAAAGGGUGGCUCAUGGAGUGACAUCUGGGGAGCACCAACAAGAUACGAGAAGAACGGUA
RNAcentral lists this unclassified non-coding RNA (937 nucleotides) under Zea mays. Its description in RNAcentral is "misc RNA Zm00001eb128370". The record is from RNAcentral. Lineage: Eukaryota; Viridiplantae; Streptophyta; Magnoliopsida; Poales; Poaceae.